AAGUCGUAACAAGGUUACCGUAGGUGAACCUGCGGUAGGAUCAUUCUUGUAAAGAUCUGACAACGCUUCGUUUUUAAGGGUGAUUCCGAUACUCGAACGUUGUCAACUUGUAAAAUUAACACUUUGAAUUAACUUAAAAAAACGGGUGACCAUGUAUGGUGGGCAAUUUAUUGCUCAUCCAUAAGCUGGCUCCUGGGGGUCUUUGCUAACAAACAAAAUUUUUAUUGCCUUAGAACAGUUGAAUUAAAUACAACCUUAAAAAAUGGAUCUCUUGGCUCCA
RNAcentral lists this unclassified non-coding RNA (280 nucleotides) under fungal sp. Its description in RNAcentral is "partial internal transcribed spacer region". The stretch from base 1 to 46 matches the Rfam family "Eukaryotic small subunit ribosomal RNA", at positions 1786 to 1831 of the family's 1831-position model. Lineage: Eukaryota; Fungi. The record is from RNAcentral.